AUGACCAAGCACAAGAGGGACGGUGGCAUAGGCUUCCGGGAAAUGCAGUGUUUUAACCAAGCUCUCCUAGCCCGGCAGAGUUGGAGACUUCUUCAGUACCCGGACAGCUUGUGUGCAAGAGUGCUAAAAUCAAAAUACUUCCCUAAUGGUAAUCUACUGGGCACGGUGUUCGCUUCUGACGCCUCGCCAUCCUGGAAAGGAAUUGAAUUUGGCCUUGAACUACUAAAGGAAGGUUUGAUUUGGCGGGUGGGCAACGGUAAGAACAUUCAAAUCCAGAGAGAUAAGUAG
RNAcentral lists this ribosomal RNA (288 nucleotides) under Triticum aestivum (bread wheat). RNAcentral's name for it is "partial small subunit ribosomal RNA". Lineage: Eukaryota; Viridiplantae; Streptophyta; Magnoliopsida; Poales; Poaceae. The record is from RNAcentral.